UCUCUCCUCCCUCUCUCUCUUCUGUGUCCCAGGGUCAGUUUAACUUUGUUGAGGUGAUCAUUAAGCCUCUGGACUAUGGAAGUAACCUGGUCACCCUGCAGUGCAAGAAAGACCUGGAGGGUCUAGUUGAUACCAGUGUAGUGAAGAUAGUCUCAGACCAGAACCUUCCAUUGCUGGUACGACAGAUGGCCCUACACGCUAACAUGGCAUCUCUGGUCCACCAGUACAGAGCAAACCCUUCUGAUGCUUACGCCUCCAAGUGGCUGGCCAGACUACGACACAUCAAGAGACUCAGGACAAGGGUGAGAAGACACACACACACAC
Salvelinus sp. IW2-2015 is the source of this 324-nucleotide long non-coding RNA. RefSeq lists it as uncharacterized. Lineage: Eukaryota; Metazoa; Chordata; Actinopteri; Salmoniformes; Salmonidae. The record is from RefSeq and is a predicted model, not a curated record.